AGCCCCUUUGUCAGUCAUUGCCUGAGAGUGGUUGGGACAGGUGACCCCGCAGUUGAGGCGACCCCCCACGAUCUCUGGAAAAGGCAGCUGAGCCCCAGUUGCAGCAGGUUGGGGGGAGAUGGUGCUGCCACAGCACGAAGGACCUAGCCCCAGUGGCACCCACCACUGUCAGAACUCUCUACCGAGGGCCAGGGUGGAUCUUUCCUCCCACAUCCAAGCGCAUCUGACAUCUUCACCUUGAAUCCUGAGUUUCUCUCUUAACUCUGUCUCACUCUGUCAUGAACAAACUCUUUCUUGAAAGUUGUAUUUCUCUGGGGCCAGAAAGGCGAGGAAAGAGGCGCUUUCUCCGGGGAGGUGGGGCUAGUGUGUCCCUGUCGUGGCUGAGAGUGACUGCCCCAGCACCUACGAAGAAAGCCCAGAGACUCUGGAGGCUCAGCUGGGAUAACGCCUGGCGUGCUCGGGGGUCAUGGCCACCGCCUGGACUCUGGAAAAAUGGGGAAAAUGCUCUUGGCAGACAGCGGGGCAGUCAGGAGGGAGCCGGCCCCACCAGCCCAGGCAACGCCCGAGAGCUGUCCUCCCACUCAGCUCCAGGAGACGUUUAAAUGGGGCCUGACUCCCCCUGUCUCUGAUUUAAAAGAUAACCAGAAGCAGCAGAGAAAACAUCUGAAGUGCUUCCUGGACACACCGGUUAGGAAGUUUCUGCGAGAACCCAGGUCCUCCUUCCCACCAGACAUGAGGAUUUUAACUUGAUCAUCUCUGCAAAGACCUUAUCUUCAAAUACAGUUACAUUCUGAAGUCCUGGGGGUUAGGGCUGCAACACCCGAAUUGGAGGAGACAUAAUCCAGCUCCUGACAACACUGCGUGUGAUAGCUGCGUCUCUGCCUGCAGUACUGUUUUCCAGUGAAAGCAUCUUUGAGUGUAUUCAGAAAGCCUCUCUCUGGGGCCAGGCCUUGCAGAGAAUCCUUCAGAAACUGGACAACCCCACCCAAAGCAGUCAGUGGGGAGGACAUAUUUGGUGCCUCAUUGCUCCCUGGAUCUGCCUCGCAGUCCUCAAUGUUCUUUCCUGUUCCCUCUACUCUUUCUCCUCUUUGGUUGACCUAGAAGCUCAUUCCUGGUGAAGGCCCCGUGGGAGCAGUGCAAUGACAAGAGGGGCCUGUUUUCAUCAGCACCCUCACGCUCUCCAGGGGUCCAUUGGAGGCGCCUAUGACCUCCUGAUGCUGAGGAGCCUAGAGUGGGCAGCCCUCGGGCCCAGGCUCCACCUGGGUGAGGCCUGUUUUAUUAUCAGUACUCACCACAGUCAUUUGUGGGAGUGUAAUGCUCAUAUUCCCAUUUAAGAGAUGAAUAAACUGAGGCAAGGUGAAGUGACUCAGCUGAGGCCACACCACAGUUUAAUGGGGAAGCCAGGAUAAGAGCUGGCGGCUUCUAUGUCUAUGAUCUACACUCUGAUGGGAGGUCAUCAGAGAGCCAUGUAAACGGUGAGGAGGUGACAUGCUGGUCCCUUCCAUAAAAGCUGUUUUGCAAAAUUAAAACACACACACAGUAAAGAUCCAGAUUUAUGCAAGUGAGAGUGAGGGGCUAUUUACCAGUCAACAGAUAUCCCCAAAUGGUUCUCUGCUUGGGGUUGAGAUGCUCCUGACCAGCAGGGCUUGGGGAGAGACAUUCUUGCUCCCCCUAGAGCUGGCUGACCCAUACCCAGGGGAUUCUGAGCACCAGGGGCUGGGAGCAGCAUGUACCACGUGUUUCCCAAGAGUUAGUCAUGUUUGCUCCUAAAACUUAUUGUAAUCGAGGAAUCUAAUUAAACAAUACAGCAACUGAAGAAACAGUGCAAAAAGAAUGAGUGACUGUUUCUAUGAAAACUUAGAUGAACUACUUUGGAAAGAUUCAAUAAAAAGCAUGCCUAAAUAUAUAUACUGGGGCCAGGAGCAGUGAUUCACACCUGUAACCCCAGUGCUUUGGGAGGCUGAGGUGGGAGGGUGGUUUGAGGCUAGGAGUUUGAAACCAGCCUAGGCAACAUAGCAAGACCCUGUCUCUACAAAAAAACAAAAAUUUUUCAACUGGUUGUGGCAGCACCUGCCUAUGGUCCCAGCUGCUCUGGAAGCUGAGGUGAGAGGAUCACUCGAGCCCAGGAGUUCAGGCUGCAGUGAGCCGCAAUUGUGCCACUGCACUCCACCCUGGGCAACAGAGCAAGACCCUGUCUCUAAAAAUAAAUAAAAUAUGUACAUCCAGAUACAGUAUUAUGUGUGGGCGAGACACCGGUAAAAGAUGGAAACAAUCAUAAAAGUCAGGCAGGAUUCCACCUAAGAUUGUCCUUAGCUCUCAAUCUACCUUGUUUUAAAAUUUUUUUAUGAGCCAUAAAAGACCUAUGACUAGUCUUUAUUGUACAACUUGAUGAAUUCUGAUCCUGUGGCCAUACGGUUCAAAAUAGAGAGCAUUCCAGCACUCAGAAAGCUCCCUAGUGCCCUCAUUGGUUGGUGCCUGUCAACCCCAAGGAUGUCAUAGUCAUUUGGACCCCCCUGGCACAGUCAUUCCACUUAGAGACUCUGCCAGAAGUCCCAGAUCAUAAUCAGGAGUGAGAUUUACACAAGAAGGGGCCGGAAGCCCUAGUGAGUAGUGAACUCAACUCCAAAAUAACCCUACACUAAAAAUAAAACUGAAACGUACUUUUUAUGUUUGAAAUUUAAAUAAGAUAGAUGUAUUUUUGUUAAAUCAUUCCAACCUUUACAACUGUUCUAUUCAUCAGCCAACUAGCCAGAGAAAGGGGGUUUCUGCUGCUGUCGGAGUAUAAAAAUGAGCUGCAAUUUUCAAAAUUUGACCUCAUCUAACUUUCUACAGCUAUGCCAUUCCUGGAGCAUCCUCAGUCCAGUGCCUGAUGCAUAAAACAUAAUAAAAAGGUGACCCCACCACACCAAACGCUGGGGUGUCUGUAGCAGUGA
Molecule: long non-coding RNA, 2933 nt
Organism: Gorilla gorilla gorilla (western lowland gorilla)
Lineage: Eukaryota; Metazoa; Chordata; Mammalia; Primates; Hominidae
Exons: 2
Source: RefSeq, a predicted model, not a curated record